GUCCUCGGGCGCAGCGGCGGUGGCAGCAGCGGCGCCCCUCUGGGUGACUUGGCCGUGAGAAAGUGAAAGGAGCCCGCAGGCGGCGGCGACAGCUGCGCUGGGAGGGGCUUGUUUCCAGGCUCAGAGGCCCCGCGCACUCUGCGGGUGCGGAGCGAGCUUUUCGGUGUGCACUGUGACAACCACAAACACACUUUUGAACGUAGUGGGGCUUGGCUGCUGCGAGUUACGCAGGUAUCCUGGAGAGGCAGGGCACCCGGGGACACGGAUGACUCGAGGCCGACUUCGGGUGGCUCUCUCUGCUCCUUCCUGUGGGGGUGAAGACGCCCGGGUCCUCGCCGGCCCGUGCGCAGGGGAGCGGGACCGAGGAGCGCUCUCGCUCCGUCCUGCGGCGUCCCGCGCCCAGGUGCACAUCGGGGAGCUGGGGACGCAGGCGACUCAGGCAGUUUCUGGGAGUCGUUCUUACGUCAUCAUGUCACGGGCAGAACAGGGCAGAGCGCCCGCCUUUCUCGCAAAACCCUCCUGUCCCUUGUGUACUUACACUGUUACAAGUAAAGACUUCCCCAAGUGACCAAAUUUUAGAGCAUUACAGUAAAAUUGGUACUUGCAGAUGCCUCAGCUUGAUUCCUUAAUUGAUACGUAUCUAGCCACAACUUUAAACUACCGAGGGACGAUGUAAGACUGCUGUGUCGCUUUUCUUUCCUUCAAAUAAACUUUUACUCGGUACCUGUUCUUGGCAAUUAGACUGCGUUAAUCACAGCCACAAAGACGUGGAAAUGUCUGCCGUCAAGAAAUUGGAAAUCGUAUCGAGAACCCAGACUGGCAAGCCUGUUGCUAACCAACCUGCCAGGAGACCUUUCAACUGGGCAAAAUGUGCUUUCACUUUGUUCCAGGUCAAAUGGGUAAAGUAGCUGGAAAGUAUUGUGUGGGCAAAUCAGACAUGUUGAAUUGCUAAUGAAGUAAAAACAGGAGCAGACAGAAUUCCUGGAACUGAAAUAGCUUCGAGAUAUCUGGUUAGAAACAGUAGUGAUGUGCCUACUUUUUUCUCAACCCUCUACGCCCUCAUGAUUCAUCACUGAGGUCAAGGAUAUCCUAUGAAAAUUGGAGUUUUUGUAUUCCAUGAAGGCUUUUGUUGUAUCUGUGCUGUCGAUGAAUUCUAGGUCUUUUCAGUCUAGUGGUAGAAGGCCCAAUUUCAGUCUGACCUGUUUCAAGGUAAGGAAUAAAUGUUAUUCACGAAUGAAAUAUACAGGCACACAAAAUGAGAUGUGAAAAGUAUAUGUUUCACCAACUAAUUCAGGGAAAAAGAAAUGUUUGCGUUAUCAAAGCUGUUUCUCAUCUACUAAAAGUUAAAAUUAAGGAGAGUGACAGAUCUCUACAUGAGUAGACAGAAAGUAAUUGAUAGUGUCAGGAUAUUAAUUCAUGAAAAUAUUAGUACACUCGGAUUAUCUACAAAAAGCUUAGAAACUCAGCUGUACUGCAUCUAAAGCCAAGGCAUAGCUCUAACAAAAUGUUUUAUAGAAUGUACCUGCAAGUAGAGUAACAGCCCCAAAGAUAUGGAGGAGACAUUGAUACAUCAAAAAUUGUAACCUGUGUGUGUAUGUGUGUGUGUGUGUAUUGUGUUUCCCUUACAGUCAUUACUAGAAUCCAUUUUGGGAACUGAGCAGUGUGGCCAGGAAAUAUAGAUUAAAUGGAUAUUUAAGGAAGCAAAUCUGUUGCCCCUCAGUUGCUACAACCAUUUUAUCCAGAGUCCCCUAGUGUGACUGUCUUUUAUGCCCUUUUUUUCACAUUUAAAUAAAUUGUUUUUACUCUCUUGUCUUAAACUGUUUUAUAAACUUAUCGUACAGAUGAUACUUUCAAUCCUUUGGAAAGUUAUCACCAUGAAAAUUGUGAGUAAAAGUAGGCUGAUAUCGGAGGAGUCAUAAUACAGAAUGAGUAGUAUUUUUAUUUAAUACCCAUUGGAAC
RNAcentral lists this long non-coding RNA (1959 nucleotides) under Homo sapiens (human). Its description in RNAcentral is "non-protein coding lnc-AKT3-2:4". The record is from RNAcentral. Lineage: Eukaryota; Metazoa; Chordata; Mammalia; Primates; Hominidae.